RNAcentral lists this small RNA (605 nucleotides) under Pan troglodytes (chimpanzee). RNAcentral's name for it is "retained intron". Lineage: Eukaryota; Metazoa; Chordata; Mammalia; Primates; Hominidae. The record is from RNAcentral.
UUUAUCUCUCUGUCUGUGUCUUGUUCUAUCCCCCUCUCCCUGUUCUUGCAACUCACCCUCUAUUUCUGUUUCUGAUUCCCUCUCUCUGUCUCCCUGUCUCUCUCUGUCUCCUGAUUUUCUCUCUCCAACUUUCUCUCUAUACCUCUCUGAUUCUCCCCCUGUCUCUUUUUCUGUUCCCUUCUCCCCGUCCAUCUCUCCUGGCCUGCCACCUUCAGGGGUCCCCACGGAGUCUGGACCAUGGAGGAGCGAGGUCUGGCCCCCAAGUUCGACACCACCUUUGAGAGCGCGCGGCCCACGCAGACCCAUAUGGCGCUGGUGCAGCUGGAGCGCGUGGGCCUCCUCCGCUUCCUGGUCAGCCAGAACGUGGACGGGCUCCAUGUGCGCUCAGGCUUCCCCAGGGACAAACUGGCAGAGCUUCACGGGAACAUGUUUGUGGAAGAAUGUGCCAAGUGUAAGACGCAGUACGUCCGGGACACAGUCGUGGGCACCAUGGGCCUGAAGGCCACGGGCCGGCUCUGCACCGUGGCUAAGGCAAGGGGGCUGCGAGCCUGCAGGUGAGCCACCCCCACCCAGGCCCUGGGCUCCAGGGGAGGCUGCGAGGCUCC